Molecule: non-coding RNA, 2297 nt
Organism: Doryrhamphus excisus (bluestripe pipefish)
Lineage: Eukaryota; Metazoa; Chordata; Actinopteri; Syngnathiformes; Syngnathidae
Source: RefSeq, a predicted model, not a curated record
CAUGGCUCUAGUGAAGAACAUGCCGCCCUGUUUGUUGAGCAGGGACACAUCAAGGGUUCCCCCGCCGAGGUCCACCACCAGCACGUUGAAGACGUCCACCUUGUGAAGCCCGUACGCCAUGGCCGCAGCCGUGGGCUCGUUGAUCACGCCUAGCUUAGCGGCUAGGACGGUGUCGUUCCUCUGCUUCUCGUCGAACUCUGCAGGCACGGAGAUGACGGCUUUGUGGACGGGAGCAUUCAGCUGUCGCUCGGCCAUCUUCCUCAUCUUCAGCAGCAGCCUGGAGCCGAUAAACUCCGGAGUCACCGUGAACGUACCAUUGGUGGUAAUGACAAACUCUGCUCUCCCGUUGUUGUUCAUCACCUAGGCGGGGUAGCGGCUGCUCUCCAGGACCAGCACAUCCGGAGAAAAGAUCUUCCCAAUGAACCUCUUAGCAUCAUAAAUAGUAUUCUGUGGGUUCUUGUCGGCCACAUCCACGGCUUCGUAUCCGACUAACACUGUCGUAUUGGUGAAGGAGACGGCGCUGGGGAGGCUCUUCCUGCCCUCCUCAUCGGCUAUCACCUCCACUUCUCCGCUGCCAGGGUGAAACACACCCACGGAGCAAAAAGUGGUGCCCAGGUCCAGGCCGAUCACUCUGGGCUUAGGUGGAGGCAAGUACUGCUGGCCCAAAUAGCCAGCCAACAACAGAGCCAGGAUAACAGCACCUGUGGCCAUGAGCAUGUAUUUAUCAUGUGUUGGCUAAUAUUUCACAUAAUAUUUGGCUAAUAUUGUUUUUUCAAGUAUCAUUCCACUUACCUAUCGCUGAUAUCGCCCCCGACAUCGUUACGUAUUUUCAGGAACUAAAACAUCCACUAUAUGUUGCUAAAAACACAAAAUGCCGGUUACUUGCAGUUUUGACAGCCGAUGAUGCGACGUUCACACUUCCUGCUAGGUACACGUCAGCGUAGAUCUUCGUGAGGGGGAUCCUGGUUAAUGUAGUUUAAGGCACCAAUAUCAAUGGAACAGUGAUCGUAGUUGAAAACAACAAUUCCCAGAAGGCCUUGCAAGACAACCUACUGUAACACUCCGCGCUCAGUCAAACACUAGACCAGAUAGGCGAAACAACAGCCUAACUCCGACAUGGGGUUUGUGUCCGUCACUUCCUGUCCCUUACCCUUUUUCUUCCCCAACCCCGGAACAUAUCUCUCUCGUCACGAGGUUAGCGCGUUCAAAGCACAAUAACAGUUUUGUGCGUAGUAAUAUUUGUAGUUGUCUUCUUUUGUGAUUAAAGUAAUCCUUUCAUAGUAGUAUAAUCAGUAAAUAACUUGUAAAUAAGCUGUGUAGACGAACACGGGAGACAUCUAGUGUCAAAACACAGAACUACAGCACACUAACUUCCCACAAUGCCAUUCUUCUAAAAGAGCCUGGAUCGGCCUGGAACAAAAAAAGUGGAGGAAAGGCGAUUUUAUACAUUCAUUAAAUCAUUAUUAAUCAAUAUAUCUAAUGAUAGUAAUUAAUUUAAUAACUCAUUUGCUUUAUUUACUGAAAAUAUCUUAUACAUCUAUGUAAAGUAUAUAAUACUGUAAUGUAUUACGAUUAUCAGUAAAUCAGCUGCUCUCAUAUUCAUUAUAAAUGUAAACUAUAAACCUUGUACAUUUUCCAAUAUAUUCAAAUUUUCUUUAAAAAUAAUUUAAAAUACAAAUUACAUACAACACAUCCAAUAUUACAGUCACUAUAUUAAAAAUGUUUUAUGAAUUUAAUUUGCAAUUGAAGUUGAGUAAUUAAUCAUGCAUGAAAUAUAAUUUACCCACUGUAUAUUACGUUAUACACUACAGAUAUUACUUAAUCAAAUAAUGACUCAAUAUGACUCAAUAACAUAUUUGGCAGUGUUUAUUUCAUGGUAUUUACAGAAGAGUUCCCAUGAACACCAUUUCUGCUUUUUUUCCCAAUAGAACAGUAUACAAUAUGUACAAUAAAAGGCAAGUUUAGUUAUUGUCUACAUUUUCCAAUUCAAAAUACGUGUUUAUUAAUAGGAAAUAAAACAUCACAACAGAAAGAAGAUAUGAUAAAUAAAGGCUUUAUAAGAAAAAAUGAUGCAUGAGUUAGAAUGAAAUAAAUACAACGUAUAUUUUGUAUGCAAUAAAUCCAUGUGGCUUAUUGUCUUUAAUGUUAUGAUUUAUAAUGAUAUAUACAUGUAUAUCAACAGUGACAAAGUCCAUAUGUUAUCUUGAAUCGGGCAAAUAAGGAUCACGUUAGGAAGCCGCGUCAUCUGCCAGCUGCUCCGCGUCUUCCUUGCUGUCCGAGCACUCGGACGGGAUGAA